CAGCAGUGAGGAAGGUGGUGUAGUUAAUAGCUGCAUUAUUUGACGUUAGCUGCAGAAAGAAGCACCGGCUAACUCCGUGCCAGCAGCCGCGGUAAUACGGAGGGUGCGAGCGUUAAUCGGAAUUACUGGGCGUAAAGCGCAUGCAGGUGGUUUGUUAAGUCAGAUGUGAAAGCCCCGGGGCUCAACCUCGGAAUUGCAUUUGAAACUGGCAGACUAGAGUACUGUAGAGGGGGUAGAAUUUCAGGUGUAGCGGUGAAAUGCGUAGAGAUCUGAAGGAAUACCGGUGGCGAAGGCGGCCCCCUGGACAGAUACUGACACUCAGAUGCGAAAGCGUGGGGAGCAAACAGGAUUAGAUACCCUGGUAG
Molecule: ribosomal RNA, 365 nt
Filed under: uncultured bacterium
Lineage: Bacteria
Description: bacterial SSU rRNA
Rfam family: Bacterial small subunit ribosomal RNA
Source: RNAcentral